RNAcentral lists this ribosomal RNA (497 nucleotides) under uncultured bacterium. RNAcentral's name for it is "partial 16S ribosomal RNA". It matches the Rfam family "Bacterial small subunit ribosomal RNA", at positions 28 to 507 of the family's 1533-position model. The record is from RNAcentral.
GAUGAACGCUGGCGGCGUGCCUAAUACAUGCAAGUCGAGCGAACAGACGAGGAGCUUGCUCCUCUGACGUUAGCGGCGGACGGGUGAGUAACACGUGGAUAACCUACCUAUAAGACUGGGAUAACUUCGGGAAACCGGAGCUAAUACCGGAUAAUAUAUUGAACCGCAUGGUUCAAUAGUGAAAGACGGUUUUGCUGUCACUUAUAGAUGGUUCCGCGCCGCAUUAGCUAGUUGGUAAGGUAACGGCUUACCAAGGCAACGAUGCGUAGCCGACCUGAGAGGGUGAUCGGCCACACUGGAACUGAGACACGGUCCAGACUCCUACGGGAGGCAGCAGUAGGGAAUCUUCCGCAAUGGGCGAAAGCCUGACGGAGCAACGCCGCGUGAGUGAUGAAGGUCUUCGGAUCGUAAAACUCUGUUAUUAGGGAAGAACAAAUGUGUAAGUAACUAUGCACGUCUUGACGGUACCUAAUCAGAAAGCCACGGCUAACUACGCG